UGCAAGUCGAGGGGCAGCAUGGUCUUAGCUUGCUAAGGCCGAUGGCGACCGGCGCACGGGUGAGUAACACGUAUCCAACCUGCCGUCUACUCUUGGACAGCCUUCUGAAAGGAAGAUUAAUACAAGAUGGCAUCAUGAGUCCGCAUGUUCACAUGAUUAAAGGUAUUCCGGUAGACGAUGGGGAUGCGUUCCAUUAGAUAGUAGGCGGGGUAACGGCCCACCUAGUCUUCGAUGGAUAGGGGUUCUGAGAGGAAGGUCCCCCACAUUGGAACUGAGACACGGUCCAAACUCCUACGGGAGGCAGCAGUGAGGAAUAUUGGUCAAUGGGCGAGAGCCUGAACCAGCCAAGUAGCGUGAAGGAUGACUGCCCUAUGGGUUGUAAACUUCUUUUAUAAAGGAAUAAAGUCGGGUAUGCAUACCCGUUUGCAUGUACUUUAUGAAUAAGGAUCGGCUAACUCCGUGCCAGCAGCCGCGGUAAUACGGAGGAUCCGAGCGUUAUCCGGAUUUAUUGGGUUUAAAGGGAGCGUAGAUGGAUGUUUAAGUCAGUUGUGAAAGUUUGCGGCUCAACCGUAAAAUUGCAGUUGAUACUGGAUAUCUUGAGUGCAGUUGAGGCAGGCGGAAUUCGUGGUGUAGCGGUGAAAUGCUUAGAUAUCACGAAGAACUCCG
Molecule: ribosomal RNA, 666 nt
Filed under: uncultured Bacteroidales bacterium
Lineage: Bacteria; Pseudomonadati; Bacteroidota; Bacteroidia; Bacteroidales
Description: bacterial SSU rRNA
Rfam family: Bacterial small subunit ribosomal RNA
Source: RNAcentral